GGGCAUCUUUUAUGACCAAAACUGUGCCUUGUGGAAAUGAACUUCACAAGUUCCUCAUCUGGGACACUGCUGGUCAGGAACGGUUUCAUUCAUUGGCUCCCAUGUACUAUCGAGGCUCAGCUGCAGCUGUUAUCGUGUAUGAUAUUACCAAGCAGGAUUCAUUUUAUACCUUGAAGAAAUGGGUCAAGGAGCUGAAAGAACAUGGUCCAGAAAACAUUGUAAUGGCCAUCGCUGGAAACAAGUGCGACCUCUCAGAUAUUAGGUAAGAUGCAUUUAAAUCUCUUUUGUGUAGAUAUUAUCCUCCAUCCCUGAAUGUCAUCCCU
Molecule: small RNA, 323 nt
Filed under: Pongo abelii (Sumatran orangutan)
Lineage: Eukaryota; Metazoa; Chordata; Mammalia; Primates; Hominidae
Description: processed transcript
Source: RNAcentral